This 197-nucleotide ribosomal RNA is filed under the name uncultured bacterium. RNAcentral's name for it is "partial 16S ribosomal RNA". It matches the Rfam family "Bacterial small subunit ribosomal RNA", at positions 1304 to 1500 of the family's 1533-position model. The record is from RNAcentral.
GCUGCAACUCGCCUGUAUGAAGUCGGAAUUGCUAGUAAUCGCGGAUCAGCAUGCCGCGGUGAAUACGUUCCCGGGCCUUGUACACACCGCCCGUCACACCAUGAGAGCCGGGAACACCCGAAGUCCGUAGUCUAACCGUAAGGAGGACGCGGCCGAAGGUGGGUUUGGUAAUUGGGGUGAAGUCGUAACAAGGUAGC